AUGCCCACGGCCAGGGCCACCACUGAAGGGCAAUCUUCUGCUACUAGGCCUCUUGCCACUGCCUCCCCAGCUGGAUUCAAAGCUGCAGGAAUACUCCAGGCCCUCCAGGUGUCAAAGCUGGGCUUUACUUGCUGCUCUCCUUACCUUCUGCACUACCAGUCUCACCCUUCCUUCAAACCAAGUUAAGAGAGGGGGACUCUGCUAUUUCUGGUUGACCUUAUCCUGUGUUUUGUAAGGAUCUGGAGUUGCACAGGUGGAGGAAGUGGUCGGAGGAGAGGAGAAAGUUACGGAAACAGCUGCUGUGGGAGAAGCACUUCACUCCCUCUCUGCUCCAUAGUCUGUGCUAAAAUCCAAGUGGGAAAUGGAAAUGGGGAGUUAUGCUAUUUCCAGGUUUCUGUUGGGGGCCUUUCCAUGCUGAAACCAAAUCAUAGGAUGUAAGACAGGGACACUCCAGUUUCCUUCUAAAGUGGUGGCAGGACCAUUUAUUCAUGUAAAUCCUGACAGGGUUAAUUGAAUUGUUUCGACACUCGUUAGGUGAAUGUGGAGGAGAUGGGUGUGUGCCUGCUCUCCUGCUCUGUUUCCCUCACAUCCCUCUCCCAUUGUUAUCUUCUUAAUUUCACAUUUUUCAGUCAUGGUGGGGGUGUGGGGAACAAUCAUUCCCAGUUGCUACCAACCAUAAGUACAAACUGAAUGCAGACUGCUCCUCAAUCACUGAGCACUGAUUUUACCCAACAAUAUUGGACCACUCCAGGAUGGGAGCCAUCAUUCAAAGUGUCCCCCAGAAAGUUGCCACUGGAAAUAUAUGAAUACUGAUUUGUGUGUGUGUGUGUGUGUGUGUGUGUGUGUGUGUGUGUGUGUGUGUGUCUUUUUGCCAUUUCUUGGCCGCUCCUGAGGCAUAUGGAGGUUCCCGGGCUAGGGGUCGAAUCGGAGCUGUAGCUGCCAGCCUACGCCAGAGCCACAGCAACGCAGGAUCCGAGCCGCGUCUGCGAGCUACACCACAGCUCACGGCAACGCCGGAACCCUGACCCACUGAGCAAGGGCAGGGAUCGAACCCGCAACGGGAACUCCUGAAUACUGAUUUUUUUAAUUGAAGUAUAAUUGAUUUACAAUGUUAUAUUAAUUUCUGAUGUAUAGCAAAGUGAUUCAUAUAUAUAUAUAUAUAUAUAUAUAUAUAUAUAUAUAUAUCCCAUUAUAGGUUACAACAAGAUACUGAAUAUAGUUCCCUGUGCUACACAGUAGGACUUGUUGUUCAUAUAUUUUAUAUAUAGUAGCUUGUAUCUACUAAUCCCAAACUCCUAAUUUAUCCUUCCCUUCUUGACUAUAUUUUUAGAAACAAAUAAACUUAAAAAAAAAAAAAAACGGAGUUCCCGU
RNAcentral lists this long non-coding RNA (1371 nucleotides) under Sus scrofa (pig). Its description in RNAcentral is "lncRNA (ENSSSCG00070023240.1)". The record is from RNAcentral. Lineage: Eukaryota; Metazoa; Chordata; Mammalia; Artiodactyla; Suidae.